This 94-nucleotide transfer RNA is filed under the name Microlunatus panaciterrae. RNAcentral's name for it is "tRNA-Ser". It matches the Rfam family "tRNA". From Rfam's summary of the family: Transfer RNA (tRNA) molecules are approximately 80 nucleotides in length. The record is from RNAcentral. Lineage: Bacteria; Bacillati; Actinomycetota; Actinomycetes; Propionibacteriales; Propionibacteriaceae. RNAcentral also lists the same sequence under 1 other name.
GGAGGCGUCGCCUAGUCCGGUCUAUGGCGCCCGCCUGCUAAGCGGGUUGAGGGUUCAUCCCCUCUCGCGGGUUCAAAUCCCGCCGCCUCCGCCA